Molecule: ribosomal RNA, 248 nt
Filed under: uncultured bacterium
Lineage: Bacteria
Description: partial 16S ribosomal RNA
Rfam family: Bacterial small subunit ribosomal RNA
Source: RNAcentral
AGAUGGCGACCGGCGCACGGGUGAGUAACACGUAUCCAACCUGCCGAUAACUCGGGGAUAGCCUUUCGAAAGAAAGAUUAAUACCCGAUGGCAUAAUUAGACCGCAUGGUCUUAUUAUUAAAGAAUUUCGGUUAUCGAUGGGGAUGCGUUCCAUUAGGCAGUUGGUGAGGUAACGGCUCACCAAACCUUCGAUGGAUAGGGGUUCUGAGAGGAAGGUCCCCCCACAUUGGAACUGAGACACGGUCCAA